This 3733-nucleotide long non-coding RNA is filed under the name Mus musculus (house mouse). Its description in RNAcentral is "long non-coding RNA chr4:103350395-103354128". Lineage: Eukaryota; Metazoa; Chordata; Mammalia; Rodentia; Muridae. The record is from RNAcentral.
GGGUUUCUGCUGAGAAAUCUUCUGAUAGGCAGUGUUGAAGCAGCCUUUUAAAGAGAAAUGCAUGUUCUCUUUUGAGUUGAAUUUGACUGGUGACAGCUGUACUUCCUGCUCUUGAGUGAUGACAUCUGGAAGUUUCCAGCAUCAUUUCCUUCAAGUCUCUUUCUAGUCCUUCUUCGUCUUCCUACAACUGCCAUAAUGUGCUUGUGUGUGUGCCCUCUUGGUGAUGGCCCAUGGCUCACACAGGGGUCCUCUCUCAGCCUUUUUGAUCCUGUGGAGAGUUUCGAAUGUUCUGUCUUGCAGCUUACUCUCUUUGUCCCAGUAGAGUAACCAUUGAAGAUUUUUAUUGAGUUUUCUAGUUUAGUCAUUGUAUUUUUAAUUUCCAAUUUUCUUUUCUUUUUAAAUUAUCUUUGUUUGGUAGACUUGGUUUUUUUGUUUUUAAUUGUUAGCUUGAUCUCACUUUUAUUUUUUAUUUUUUAUAGUUUACUGAACUUAUUUAUUAGUGUAUCCUAAAUUCAAUUGUGAAUCAUUUUGUAGAUCUUCAUUUAUUUGGGGUCCAUUAUUGUAGCCUAUCAAGUUUCUUUUCAAAGUUUCUUUGUUUGUUUGUUCAUUUCUCUUUCUUUUUUCUUUUUUUAACAUAGGGUCUCAUGUAGCUCAGGCUACCCUCAAACUCAGUGUGUACCUAAGGGUGACCUUGAGCUUCUGACUGUCCUGUGUCAGCUUCCCAUGAUAUAGGAUGGCAGGGAUGGCCAUUGUGUCUAGGUUAUGAGCUAUUUCCGACCCCAGGCAGGCCUGCAGCUCUCUUCUGGCUGAGCUACAUCCCAGCCCAGUGCCUCUCUUAGUUGUGGUUAUACUCGCACCUCUCUGUCGAGGUCUGUGCUUCCGAGAAGCACCCUCCUGGCUUCUACUGUAUUCUUUGAUGUACUCUGAGGGUCAGCUAGUGACAAACACAGUGGGGUGAUGAAGCUGUUUUUAGCUUGAAAUACUUUUGCUAUCUACUGGGAUAAUUUUUUCUCUAUUUCUAUAUAUCAAAUGUUUUAAAUAUUGCCUUCAACUUUGUUACUUAGAUUGAGUGGGUAAAUAUUUUACUUGUCUCUUUGUUAACAUUUGCAAGCUCCCCCCCCCCAAAAGUAUGUUUUUGGUUUUUUAGCAGAUAUAAAAGUGAAUGUUUAUAUCCACUUAUUAGGAUAAUACUUUGGGUCUUUAAACAUUUUAAAAUUGAUUUUUGUGUGUAUAUGCAUUCAUGUAAGGGCACGCUCGCACACAGGCACACGUGUCACCGUGUUAAUGCGGCCAUCUAAGGGCAACUUUCAGGAGUUGGGUCUUUAUCUUGUUUCUGCUGCAGUGUUGCCUGCUCCGGGCUGCUGACCAGCACAUUUCCAGGUGGUUUUCCUGUCUGCAGUCUCACUGGGGCAGUGCUGGGAUUAAAGGUGCUGCUGCCCUACCGGGAAGUGAGGCCUUCAUGGCUAGCACUUCAUGCUCUAAGACACUCGUCCAGCUCUGCCUGAGGUGCACUUAAAGUGCUUAAAGAAUUACACUGAUUUGAACAUUGAAUUGAAAUUGAAUUUCAGAUCAUUUUUUUCUCUUUGCUUCCUAACCUUGAAAAAUGUCUUCUUAGUGUUUUAUGAGCAGGGAGGCAGCAUAGAUGUUGACUGGCUGUUGACCAUAAAUCUUUGUUAGGUUUCUAUUGCUGUGUUAAAACAGCAUUGCCAAAAGCAACCCGGGACAGAAAGGGUUUACUUCAUCCUAUACUUCCUUCACUGAGGGAAGUCAGGCAGGGAACUCAAACAGGGCAGGGACCUGGAGCUGAUGUGGGGCCAUGGAGCUGCUUACUGGCUUGCUUCCCAUGGCUUACUCAGCCUGCUUCCUUAGAGAACCUAGGACCACCAGCCCAUGGGGUGGCCCUACCCAUUAUGGGCUGGACCCUCCCAUAUUAGUCAUUAAGGGGACAUUUUCUCACUUGAGGUUCCUCCUCCCCCGAAGGCUCUAGCCAUGUCAGAUUGACAGGACACUAGCAGCACAACAUGUGGCAUUCUCUUGCUUUUUAGGUAUCACAGUCACACAAUGUAAGGCUUUUUGUAGCCACACUUUGGCCAGUCUGAUAGAAUUUUGUCCUUAAUUUAUUUAAAAGUAAAAUACAAAAUAUAAGCACUUGUUUCCUAGUAUUUAUAGAAGGAGUAAAUUAAGAUGUGAAGAAAAUUGAACAGACUUCUAAAGAAACCUCUAAGUCCUCUGAUGGAAGAUUUAUAAAGAAUUCUUAGAAACACUUUAAUAUAGUUCAAAAUUAAACCUUUACUUCCUUCCCACCUCAGGCCCUUGAGUUACACAUCCAGGACAACUACUGUGAACAGUUCUGAGGUAGCCUUCCACAGUGCUCUGUGUACUUAAGUGUAUGUGGAACAUAUGUACAUGAGUUAAAAAUAGAGUUUAAAAAUAAAUAGUGUUUUGAAUGGGCUAAAUGUAUUUUUUCUCAUGUAGUUGAGAAAAUUGGACAGCUUGAUACACAUUAAGUAUUUUCUUCACCUUUAUUAAAUGUUUCCUAAUUGUAUCAUUCUGUAUAAAAUUUCUAUAGUGAAGUUUAAUAACAGAUUAUUUUUAAUAGAAACAUUAAUUUAUAUGGAAGAUUUCCCCCUUAAUACAUGUUUUUAAUGUCAGUUGGCUUAUUGAAAACAGGGUGGCGGUCAGGGCGCUGGGCUUGCGUUGCUGCAGUGAAAUAUUGUUUGUGUUCCGCUUUUCUCGUUGUUCUGUUUUGCAGUCCUGGGAUCAAAGCCAGAGCCUAGUGCUCUAGGCAUGUUACUCCACUGCUGAUUUUAAUUCCCAGCUUGAGGUUUUAUUCUUUUAAGUAGUAAACAUAUACUUCUCUUUUGUUACAAUGGUGAUAGAAAAUUAGAAUAAUUUUGAAAUGUGUAGUGACACAAAAGUAAACUUUCCUUCCUUCUUCUCUCCUGCUUCCUCCCUCUCCCUUCCUCUCCUUCCUCCCCCACCUCCUCCUUCCUUUGAUCUCCCUCCUUAGCCCUUUGAAUACCUGGCUGAGUUCUUUUUUUUUUUUUUUUUUUUUAAGUUGAAGUAAUUAAACUCAUUGUGUGUGUUUUAUUAACUCUGUGUUUAGGCAUGUGCCGAUGUAAGAGCUAGUUCAGUGUUUUGGCAGCAGAUGGAGUUCUCAGAGAGUCUUCAUGGCUAUCCCAAGUUGCCAGAGUGGCUGUCGACACAUCCUUCUCAUGGGAACCGAGCUGAGUACUUGGAUAGACUCAUACCACAGGUGAGCUAACCCCACUAAUUCUGUUACUUUUUUGGUAUAGAAAAAGUGAAUUUCAGUAUGCAAUUAUUUUGGUUACCAUAAUUAUCAACUAUUGGUUUCACAGAGUUGUAUUGAAAAGGGAAUUCCUAUUUACCCACAAGUCCUGGGGAAUAAAUUGCUAUGUACAGCUGAAUUUCCUCAGUGUAAGGUCUACUCUCGUGUCUGACUGAGUUGUAAUUAACUUGGUAAUGUCUUAAACCUUGAGAAGGCCUGGAGACGUGGUUCAGUUGAUGAGGGCUUGCCUAGCAUACAGGAAACCCUGUAUUGUACCUCUAGUACUUUGCAAAGUGGGUGUGGUGAUGCACACCCGUAAUACCAGUGCUUGGGAGGUGGGGACAGGAAAACCAAGAGUUCAAGGACAUCCCUAGCUCCACAGUGAGUUUGAGGUCAUGAGACCUCAUGAGACAUGAGACCCUGUCUCAAAGCAAAAAAAUAAGC